AACAAACGGCUGGCGGCGUGUCUUAAGCAUGCAAGUUGAGCGGCAAGGAGGAGAGAUCCUCCCUAGAGCAGCGGACUGGUGAGUAACGCGUGGGUAAUCUAUCUUAGGCAUGGGGAUAGUCACUAGAAAUAGUGGGUAAUACCGAAUAAGUUCCAUAAGGGGGAGGACUUAUGGAAGAAAGGUGCUACGGCACUGGCCUUAGGUGAGCUCGCGUCCCAUUAGCUAGUUGGUGAGGUAAAGGCCCACCAAGGCGAUGAUGGGUAGCCGGCCUGAGAGGGUGUACGGCCACACUGGGACUGAGAUACGGCCCAGACUCCUACGGGAGGCAGCAGCUAAGAAUAUUCCCGCAAUGGACGGAAGUCUGACGGAGCGACGCCGCGUGGAUGAAGAAGGCCGAAAGGUUGUAAAGUUCUUUUGCUAGGGGAGAAUAAGUGUGGGAGGGAAUGCCUGCACGAUGACAAGGACUAGCGAAUAAGUCCCGGCCAACUACGUG
This 493-nucleotide ribosomal RNA is filed under the name uncultured bacterium. RNAcentral describes it as "bacterial SSU rRNA". It matches the Rfam family "Bacterial small subunit ribosomal RNA", at positions 35 to 507 of the family's 1533-position model. The record is from RNAcentral.